Molecule: ribosomal RNA, 425 nt
Filed under: uncultured bacterium
Lineage: Bacteria
Description: partial 16S ribosomal RNA
Rfam family: Bacterial small subunit ribosomal RNA
Source: RNAcentral
GUGGGGAAUAUUGGACAAUGGGCGAAAGCCUGAUCCAGCAAUGCCGCGUGAGUGAUGAAGGCCUUCGGGUUGUAAAGCUCUUUUACCAGGGAUGAUAAUGACAGUACCUGGAGAAUAAGCUCCGGCUAACUCCGUGCCAGCAGCCGCGGUAAUACGGAGGGAGCUAGCGUUGUUCGGAAUUACUGGGCGUAAAGCGCACGUAGGCGGCGACUCAAGUCAGAGGUGAAAGCCCGGGGCUCAACCCCGGAACUGCCUUUGAAACUAGGUCGCUAGAAUCUUGGAGAGGUCAGUGGAAUUCCGAGUGUAGAGGUGAAAUUCGUAGAUAUUCGGAAGAACACCAGUGGCGAAGGCGACUGACUGGACAAGUAUUGACGCUGAGGUGCGAAAGCGUGGGGAGCAAACAGGAUUAGAUACCCUAGUAGUCC